Molecule: long non-coding RNA, 1332 nt
Organism: Panicum virgatum (switchgrass)
Lineage: Eukaryota; Viridiplantae; Streptophyta; Magnoliopsida; Poales; Poaceae
Exons: 2
Source: RefSeq, a predicted model, not a curated record
CUCCUCAUGUCAGUAGACACGGAAAAUAUCAUACCCCUCCCAUCUUCUCCUUUACUCCACCAGUCCACCUGAGUCUUCCUGCUGGCGUCCCCUACUCUCCUCCAUGGCGCUGGCUCUCCGACCAGGACGGCGCAGGCGAGCGCUGCGCCGAGCGGGCGAGGAAGGCAUGCGAGGGGCGGAUAGCAGGUGCAGGCACCUGCUCCGUGCGAGCAUGAAUGGCAGCCGGCGGAUGCGCAUCAGGCGGUCCAGUGCUCUUGCUUGCAAAAUAAAAACGAAUUUCUAUUCACUGGAUCCAAAUCGCCCCAACCCAAAUUGAGCCUGUUGCCCUCAAAUUAAGCUCUCUAACUCAUCACUUCUAUCUACUUCUUCUUAGGCCUCGAAUCCAUCUGCCCACUCUGUUCGUUCCUGUUGUGACUGCACCCUUGCCAUUGCCUUGCUCCCGAGUCCCAUCACGCUUCUGGCAUUUGCUCUCUCUCGUGCGCUACAGCAGCGCGGCUCACCAGCGAGGGCUGCGCUGAUGAGGGCCGUAUCGCAUUGCGCUGUCAACGGAGGCACAACUCGCUUAUGAGGGUCAUGCUGUGAUAUGGCAGUGUCUCCAGCGGGCAGCACAGGCGCGCAAGGCGGCCCCUGCCAGCACCAACGGCUGAUUUGUAGCACGCGGCAAGGUCUCAGGUCUGUAGCUCCAUCCGCUCCAAUUCCACCUCCUGCUGUCCACAUGUGUCUCAUCAAUGGAGGAUGCACACUGUGUUUGAUGAUUUGCCAGUGCAAACCAAACCAAUGAUCUGUUCAUGGAGGUGCACACCAUAUGUUUGAUAGUUUGCCUUGGCAAUGGUGAGUCGGUGAACAAUCAACCAUGCCCAGAUUUCUGCACAGAUAACAAUAAAAGUGAAUAGAAAUGCGCUGGCACAUUCAGUUUACUUGCCUUGUCUAAGGUCAUAAUUCUAGUUUCUAGCUCUCGGAAAUUAAUCAUAUUUUUGUAACAAUAAAUUUGUAAUAAUCUAAAAGUUUCUUGGGCAUGCUCCUGUGGUAAUUUUGUAUCAAGUUCAGCAUAUUGCAUGUUUGCAUUUGGAAAUAGACAAUGAUUCUUUAUCCUUUAACCUUUAUUAACCAUGCCCUAAUUUCUGCAAAAGUUUGAAUAAAAAGUGACUACACAUGUAGUUGGCAAGGAGUCCUAUUUGAUGAAAACAAGAAGGCACAUUCUGUCUACUUGCAUUGCCUUAGUGUUCUUUGAGAUAAAGCUCUGCCCAAGAUCCUUUUGCAGUGAUGUUGUACUAUUAACUUUUGUGGUGACUGCUUCCAACUGAGCUGUUGUGCUUUCUGUGUAGUGAGACA